CACUGCCACGGCAGCUGAGUGACAGCUGGGAGCGAGAUUGGGAUUGGCUGGAGGAAGGCACCGACAGCAUUUGAGCAGGAAGCUGAUUGGAUGACAGGAUGCAUGGACAGCACAUGAGCAGGAAGCUCAUUGGAUGAUAGAACACAUGGAGAGCAGCAUGGCAGCUGAGCCAGCCAAUGGGUGCCUUCUUUCUGUUAAGUUCGGUUAGGUCUCGGUUAGGUUUCAGUUAUGUCAGGUAGAGAUUAAAGGUAUAAAAAGGGUGCGACUUCUACAAUAAAUUGAACUCCUUCAGAUGCUUAAGGCGGUCCAUGUCGCUUGUCCCCCAUUGCUACAACUAACAAACCCAAAUGGGUGAGCAUGUUACUCUGUAAAGUUUUUAGAGACAGUGUUUUCAAAGCCAAACACUAUUUCAGCCUUCAAAAAUGCACAAAAAAGCAUAAAAACCCACAUGAGAAAAUACAAGAAUGAAUGCUUGUCUGCAUCUUGACAAGCUCUUCUCAGUACGGUCACACCCAGCUUGCUUUGUGCAAGGUGUUAGGCAGCCUCAAAACAGAAUGUUUCAUGCCAUUUCUCCCAAAACACAAGGGCUCCUGACUUUCCUUCAUAGGCUCUUUUAGAUUUUAAGAUUCCUCUGAUUUCAAAUUUGAGAAUGAAAACUAUCACUCAUAUCUAGCCUAUAAAAAAUAAAAGGCCCAGUGUUACAAUUUCAUAGGUGCUAUUUUUAAGAUUCAAAGACAGCUCUAUCUUUCUUCACUCUUUUACUUUCUCUGCUCUCAUACGACACCAAUAACAAAAGAAGACAGGAAAACAAAGUGGCAUACAAAAUUCCUAAAAAUCAUCACCAUCAGUGUCCAGGCAAUACUUACAGUGAUUGAUGCAAGAAUCUUAGCAAAGAAAACAGGCUUUUGCAUCCAAGGUAAAGCUUUCAGGCUGCUGAUGUUUCACUGGGUAUUUCCUGAAAAAAAAUGAUAGGGGAUAAAACAAAAUCACAUCCUUGAAUUAGACAAAUGCUAAAGAAAUUUAAGAUAUUUACAUUUUCUGGGAAUGUAACUAUGAGAGAGGCAAACAAGACUAAGAUACCAACCAUUAGUAACUGUAAAAUCCUUGCUAGAGGAGGAACUUUGACUACAUGCAGCACACAACUUCACAAAGACUAAAAUCCAAUCACCGUCACUGUAAAGACCAAAAAAAAUCAGGAAAUUAGGAACGCCUUGCUGAAGCCAGGCUGGAGACAAGGCAAGGGGUUCAUUGCAAUGUUAAAUCCUAUAAGCUGUCCCAACAGGACCAAGGGUGGAGGUCGCAAUGGAUAUACCUUGAAAUUUUUGUAAGCCAUGAUUUGAGUUAUGUGUUACAGGAAUUGCUAUUAGAGGAACCACACAGGACCAGCCCCAAGAAUCACCUGUUGUUUUGAGAUAAACUACACUAACAUAUGCUCAAAGAUAAAAGCCUUGAGAUGAUGACCAAGGUCACCUGACUAUUUCCUGGGCAGUCCCACAAUUUGGGAUUAAACACAAGUAGGCUGGUUAUCAAUCAUUCUUUAUAUGAAGCCCAUGUGCCAGAUGAAGUCCUAUGAGUUUGUCUUUCAUCUGAGGCCCAGCAGCACCCAGUAGUUAGAGUCCUGGCUCACUCAGAGCCCACUAACAUGGUGCCCAGCACCACAGCUUGUCGCUAUGGCCUCAAAUUAGAGACAGGAAUGAGACGGACGAGACACUCAUUCCUUCAAGCAGAAUAGCUGAAUUUUCAUUGCACACAGCUCAUUUUAUAUGGUAUCAGAAGGCACUAUGUUGGUAUCUAAUAGGUCAGAAAAUCAUUGAAAUUCAGUUCAUUGCUUGGUAAUGGCUAGUGUAUAUGUCCAUCAAACUUUUUGCUUUCUAGAUAUGUUUACAUUUUUUCUUCACGGACUCUCAUGGGAUAGACUCCUUAUUUUUGCAGGUGCAAACUGUUCUCUCACAAAAACAGAUUGUUAUGCAAACUGAUUCUCAUUCUUAUGAUUCUUUUCUCAUGAUAACUCAAUGGGCCAGCUUAGCCAGAAUAGCAAGGCCUAAACCAUGUUUUACAAGGCCUUUCUUUUAUAAGGUUUUACCUAUAUGUACCACCAACUAUUUUCUGCUAUGCUCGUUCUGUCAUCCUGCCUCCUCUGUCAGGAUGCAAGCCACAGUUACUACCAAACCCGUUGUGGAAGGGUGGUUAAAAACCUCCUUAAGCCUAUGCUAAAUGUCCUGACCCAAGGAAUCUUGAAAGCUUCUUUAGACCCAGGUAUUCCAAACAGGCAGCACACAGAGCUCCAACACUUGUUUCACCAGCUUUUGCCAACAAGCCCCUAUGCUGAACCUUGUCCCACCACGGCUUGAGCAAGGGCCCUGGUGCCCCUCCCAUCACUUCAUCAGUUGGAAACCCCGCAGCCCUUGGUUUCACAGAUUUAUCAGACGUACAGUUAGCACCCCAGACAGAACCUGAUGAUCCUUCUCAGGUGCCAUGGAGGGUGCAGCUUACUGAGACUUCCCAUUUGGAGGUAGAUGCCACCAUCAAUGGCCUCAUCAUCUGUGUGUCCUCAUGGACAGUCAAAAUUCUGCCUUCAGCUGAUCACAAGGGAGGGGAACACUUUUCUCACCUUCUGCAGUAGUCCACAGGUUACAGAAGCCCCUUCAGCCCUUCCCAAAUUCAGUCAAGUGUGGCUUCCCUAAGAGCCAGCCAGCCUGAGGAUCUGGUUUUGAGAGGUUCUAACCUCCACUGUGGAGUAAUUCCUAUACAAUUCUAGUCAGGUCUGCACAGCAGCAGUUUAUCACUGCAUGUAGCUGCAGAGCUAUGCACCACAAAAAGCAGGCAAGUGACAGCCUCUGCUGAGUUGAACCUUGCCCAGCUGGGUCAGUGACAGAGUUUAUAUUUAUGUACCUCUGUGUUACAUGCCUUGUUUUUCACGGGACUACAGGUACAUGUCAGAUAAGCAAGAUGCAGUAAGUUACCAGAAGGAACGGUAACUCACAGAUUGCUUCAGAUAAGCUCCAGACAGUACGUCCUUUUACAAGUAUUCCACUCCAAUAAUUUGGCCACUCUUACUCAGUGAGGCCAUGCUGCAGAUAUUUCUAACUAGAAAGGCCUACAAAGGCAUUAGCUUUUUUACUUACACAGACAGAACCACUCAUAGACCAGACCUUCCAUGAUGCUCCAGGGAAGGUACAAUCUCCUGGUACUUCUGAAUCAAACUCCCCCUACCUUGAGGACACUGAGAAGCAUCUCCCCUACCUCCAGUGACCCAUGCUGUUAACACUCUGUGAUCCUGCAAGCCCCAAAAUUCAUCAUGUCUCUUUUCAGAGAAGUGAAAAAACAGUGAGUUGCACCCACUUCCCCUUUUAAGAGCCCCAGCCAGUCAGCUCACAAGUCCAGUGGGUCCUGGCACCUGACCAGGGCUACUGGAGCAGGACACUCUGCCUCCGUGGGGUAAAGCAGCUCGAACAAUACCCUGACUGUAAAAGUUGUCAGUGAUGGAUGGAGAAGGGGGAUCAUACUGCACUUGGUGUAGAACAAUGCUGAGACCAGCCUGAUUCAAUAACCCCAAAGUUGAACAUUCUGAGGAUGUGAGGAACAAUGUUUCCUAGCAGAAAUUGGCACGGGUGAGAAUGUAAAAAAAGUUCCUAAUAAAGCAACCAAGAAGUAACAGUAUUGAUAAUUCACCUGACACUGCUGAGCUAAAGGCUGCUGAGCUGAUUCAGUUGGCCCAGAAACAUCUGACUGACAGUGGAUCACUAUAAAAACUCAGUCCCCAAUUUUAACAGCAGAGACUUGCUACGAAUAACUAAAGGCCAGGCACUGGGUGCUCCAACAGUCUAUUUGCAUUCAAAAGAACCAACCAGGUUCACAAGUACUAUGGUUUACUUAAUGCAACAGACAUGGCUCUUUUGGAGUGCUCUUUUGGAGCAGAGUCUGCAUAAACUGCAGAGAAGCUAAAUAUAGCCCUGACAAUACAAUGGCAAUCACAAGCUCAAUUUCUCACUUCAAAAGACUCAGCACAGCCGAGGACACAAGUCUUAUCAAAAGGCGCCCCUUCUGCAGAGGGUGAGGAAAAUGUGUCCCUACAAUUUUCAUGUCAAAUUCUCAUCCCCCAGCUAAACACAAAAUCAGGGUCCUUUUAUACCUUAUUAGCCAUUAUUGUGCAAAGUGCUGUGGGUAGUCAAAUUUUCUGUUCUUAGUGGUUGCGUCUUAUGCAGUAUUUCUUGGUAGCAGGUAUACCUGGUAGCAGUUGUACAAAACAUUUCCUGGUAUUGAGACUGCACUGCUCCUUUCCCACUUUAAAUUCCUACCCGAUGCCAUGGCAACAGAAACCUCCAUCAGGUUUCCAUGUCUGCCCUGAUCACUGAUGUUCUGAUGCGUGGGCUCUGUCUCAUAUUGAGCUUUGCUAUUUUCUUCACUGUUUUAUACUUCCCACACUCUUAACAUACCCCCUUCUAGAAGUGUGUGUGGAGAUUCCUCCUUUGAGUGGGGAUACCUCCAAGGUUAUUUCCCAAGGCUGAAUUAAAGAACUAUGCCUACAGACAUUGGUAGGAGUGAGCAACAUCAAUCUCUACUUGAUUAUUUUGCCAGCUUUGUCUCUGUAAUUAUAGUUAACUAUCUAUACUGUGUAGUAAUUAAUUCUGAUUAAGGUCCUUUAGUCCAACUAGUAUUAUGAUCAAUAUCAUCAGUAUUAGCACCGUAUAAAUAAAUAAUUUUUUCAUAUUGGUUUGCCUUCCUUUAUCCUGUGGGACGAGGUUGUAUAAAGAUUCAAAUACACCUGUAGAAUUAUUUAGACGUUAACCUUUAAGUCUUUGAGCUAGGACUGGAUCCAGCCACACCCAGACUCCUCUCUGAGGAGUUUAGAAAGCAACAGGAUCCUUUCUGCACCCUGUGACUCAACAGGAGGGUAUAUGUGAUAAACCUUGGGUGAAACUUCCAUUCUGCUUGUGACAGCUACCUAGGCAUACAUUUUGCCCCCCCUCUGCCUCAUACUGCAGUGGCAAAAGCUGCCAAAACCAUCAAUGCCAUUUAUCUUUGUCUUAUCUACGCAGUCAGUUUGGACAUUAAAGGUGUCCCACCCACCAGGCCUAUCAAGCUCACUUUGCUUGUACUGGGAAUGGCAUUAAUUAUACCUUUACUAAUUUACCUGCAGGCUAUGGCUAUAGUCCUGCCAUUGAUGCUAAGGUAGCUCAAGCAGUAUUAGCUGAAAUUUCUCCCACUCUUGAUGUCUCUCAUCACCACUGUCUUGCUGACUUUCCUACCACAUAUAGAUGGCAAUCUUACACAAGAAAUUAUUCCAAAUUUCAGCCCUCAAAGAACACCUGGAAGCUUUUAUCUUCCUGGUAAAUGCCAGGGUCCUGCCCAGAAUGUGAAGUGUUGGGGUAAUUUUUAAAGGAAUCUUUUUGCAUGCCAGUACCAUAGGUAUUUCUGAAAUUGUCUUGAAGUCUUUUUUUUUUUUUACCCAAUCUACUCCCUCCUCCAAAUGCAAAUAUCAAAUCUUCUAGGUUCUAAAUCUUUGCCAUGAAAGGCCCAGGUUUUAGACAGCUGGACUAUUCUCUCUAUUCUUUGCUGGGCACAUAUUGCACCUGGGACUGGAGUAUGAGCCACAAACACUUCCAACCCUUCUAAAAAUAUUCAUUGAUAUCAGUAUCUGUUUAUGCAAUGGUAUAUAACAAGCAUUAAUUAUAAUUAUUAAGCUAAGCAACUCAUCAAGUAACUGUACCCUCACCAAUUAUGUGCAGUGCAACACACACUGAUGGACAGAGGCAAGAGAUAAUUGUAUUACCACUCUUAGAGUCAAUAAAGUGGAUUGACUUAGGAAAGUAGUCAUAACUCAACUCCUUGACCAAAUUAUUGACAGUUUGGCUCAGGCUCACAAGGAAGUAAAGGCCUAGGCCAUGACCAGGUCAAGGACUUUUCUAGUUCCAACCUAUUCUUUGAAAACCCACAUAGAACAGGGAGACACAAAGAGCUUUGAUGCGUAAGAGUUGGGAACACCAGCCAAGUGAGUAAGACAUCAAUAGCAGGUAGUUCUUCCAGAACUAAUGAGUAAGGAACAAAUUAAGUUGUGGGUGCAAGGAAUUUCAUGUAAAUUCCAUGGCAUUUCAUUUGACUGCAAGCCAACCACUUUAUUCCACAAAUAUGAAAGCCCAGGUGAGCUUUUUUUUCAUCUCUCCCAGCUGCAGUGUUGUAACCUGUCCUUGAGCUGGGUCACCUCGAAGUUUCUCCUGGAGGAGAAAUUUAGGUCUCAGUGUCCUAUCCACUUCUGACAAAUCCUGAUGGGGUUCAUCCAAUAGUCUUUAAAGAGCUGCUGAUGUCAUCACAAAGUCUCUCUUGAUGGUUUUUGAGUGAUCUUGAGAGUCUGGAGAAGUCCCAGCUGACUGGAAGCUGGUAAAUGUUGCCCCAGUUUUCAAGAAGAGCAAGGAGGACCCUGGAAAGUAGAGGACUGUCAGUGUCACUUCAGUGUCUGGUAAAAUCAUGGAAAACAUUUUUCUGAAAGGUACUGAAAAACACUGAGGACAACAAUCAUCAGUCACAGCCAGCACAGCUUUAUGAAGGGAAAGUCAGCUUGUCACACCUGACUUCCUUCUACAACAGGGUAAACCACCUUGCUGAUCUAGAAAAGCCAGUACAUGAAUUUUUUUGGACUUCAGUAAAAUGUUUAUAGGAUGGUUUUACUCCUGUAGCCCUCAUGUUGCAUCAGGCUGUCCUUCCCAGCCUUCCUUUUUGUUUUUAGCAUUGUCUCCUCCCAACACCAGGACUCUUAAUGUGAUUUUAUUCAGUGUUAUCCCAUACUGAAUAAACAGUAUUUCUCAGUUUGCUAGUGGGGUUUUUUGUUUGGAGACAAAGUGAAUACACUUAAUUCCCACAGUCUUUAAAAGUUGAGGGGCUCAGGUGGAGCUUUCUCUUGCCUUUGGCAUACCUUUUGGUUCCACUGGCAACAGUGGCAACUCGAGAAGCGACAUUUCCCAAUCAAAAACUAUUUCAGAGUGAAUUAUGCAACACCUGCCUGCAGCCAUGCUGUUGAGCCCAGAAAAGCAGAGCAGCCCAGCUCCCUGUGUGUGUGUCAGGACAUCCCUCCCUACCACAGAUGGCUGCUGCACAUGGAAGAGAUAACCCAGGCACAGGCAGAAGCCUGGCAGGAGGUCAUUGCUGGUGCCAGAAGGGCUGAGACCCCCAACUAAGAAUCAACAUCUUGGUCUGGAGAGAAGAUGUGGGAAGAGAUUAAGAAAAGUAAAUGUCAUUGACCAAAAGACACUGCUCUUUACAAUGAUAAAAGCCACACAAAUUAUUACGGAGAUGGAAACCUCUCACACACUCCCUGGAAAUGUGUAGGGUGGCUUCUCCUAUGAAGCUUGGACACACCUUUGUAGGUAUUUUUCCAGAAAUUGAGAGGAAAGAUUUGAUGGAAGAUUCAAUGUAUCUCACCAUCCAAUCCAUCAGCAAUUGGAUGGUAAAAAACAUUGAAUCCUAAUCUAUAUUACUUCUUCGCUAGCUGUAAUAUAGGCACCUCAAUCACACAGUAUUGCCUAUCUACUAGUAGUGUCUCUUUGUUUAUCCUAUGUGGAAAGAAGUCUGGUUUAAGUCUUAUGUCUGCAUUCCUUGGUCUAUUCAAUAAAUCUUUAAUUUUGUAAUAGACCUAAUCAGCCAUUUUUAAGAACUUGUGAAACGAGAGUGAGUUUUGGGGUGUUGGCCACCUCAAUUAAGUUAGUGUCUACUGUCAAGGGCCUGGGCAGAGGCAGGGCCUGGUUUAAACUCCCCUCUCCAUGAUAACAGCGUGGUGACCCCAGCCCACCAGCAGUGCCUGGCUGGGGCCAGGAGGCUCCGAGUCACACCAGCCCAGAGGCUUUGCCUUGCUGUCUUCUGCUGAGGAGAAGGCAAAGUCCUUCCACAAGGUCUAGCCCUUGACCAAGUACCAGCCAUCAGAGAUAAAAGGAGAGGAGGGGGCUGCUGCCAUUUUCCCUUGUCUGCCCCAUGGCAGGCACCAUCUUGGGGAAGCCAUCACUCUGAGGUUUUUAGUUUCUCUUUGUUCUCUGGGAGUCUGGGAGAUUUCAGCAACUUCCUAAAAAACUGGUGCUCUUACUGAUAUGUUUUGCCUAUUGCUAUUUUGGAGAUUUUUUUUAGUAAACUGUUAUUUUUCCACUUAUAUCUCCUCUACAUGUUUUUCCUUAUUGGUGGAAAGGGAUUGGUUAAAACUAAGGGGAAGCAACUCAUUUUAGAGUGUUCCCCUAAAUUGUCUUAAACCAAGGUUUGUCAAGCAGGACCUGCCUUUCAUGAGCUCAUGCUGGCUGGGCCUGAUUCCCUGGUUGUCCUGUAGGUGCCAUGUGAUGUCAUUCAAGAUGAUCUGCUCCAUGACUUGCCUCAGCACAAAAGGCUGUAACUGGUAUUAUAGUGCACUAUUUAUUAAAUUGGUAUUUUCAAAACUAGCUUCAUAAUUGUCAAGAAGAGAUUGGUUUUGGUCACCCACACUCCUGAUCAUGGGCAAAUCUCUUUCACUCAGCCUCAAGGAGUUACCACAAGAAGCAUCCACACUUUAAGGAAGAAUCUCCAUGCACUCUCCUAAAAAGAAUGUGCUAGAAAUCCCUAUCAUAAAAAAGAGAGCUUGGGCUUUUAUAUGAUAACGUGAUUGACUGUCAUGACCUACAUGUUAGCUCAGCAGAACAUAAUUCAUUUAAAAUACAUGGAUUAGUACUACCACUCAUGGGUUCCUUUUAUCAGGAAACAUCUGUCUCCCACAUCCAUGCCACUGCCAGUUCCUAGCAGGAAACACCAGUUUCUAAACAUCCUCAUAUUGUUUAAUUUUGAGAUGUUUCAGUCAGGCUGAUAUCAGCAUUCUUCAACAUCAAAAACAACAUGGCCACCCUCCCUCCAUCACUGCAUGAUUUUUGCAAGUAGGGUGAAGUCCAAGCUGUUUCACCCCCAGUUAAACAAAAAGAACAACCUGGUAUGCUCAAAAAUUUUCAAUUUCAGUAUUUAUGUCAACAAGUUUUAAAAUUCCAUUUCAAUAAGGAUGUUUGAUGCAGGACUACAGCUGCAGAUUUCUACUUAUUAUACUUCAUGGUAACAACAGCAAAAUGCUGAAGUACUAAGGCCUGAACAACAGACCUUGGGACAAAGUUGACCUCUAGGUAAACCUUUCAACCAAAUGUUAUAUGUAUCUGCUCAGUGGCAAAACAUGGUUUUAGUAUUUAGAACCCAGGCAAGGCCAAAUCUAGCUUUGGUUGGGAGUGUAGGAUCAAAGACAACUCCCUUGGUUCAUCCUUGAGCCCUGGCCAGGCUUUGGAAGAAAUCCAGUAGGAGAUAGAAACCAGAUGUUCCCGCACCAGAAGCUAUGGUAGCUUGUUUAUUUAACAGGAUAAAAAUGGGACUCUCUCACAGCUAAGUCGGAAGCCUCAUUUCCUGUGGGUGGAAACACCUGCAGGAUUUCCCAGUCCUUUGCUGUGAUAGUAGCUUUCCCCAGCUGAUGCUUAUCCUAUCUUAUCUUUUUGUAAUUCUUUGCGGUUUCAUAUAUUAAAUUACCCUCAUUCCUUAAGUUGGUGUCUGUGUCUUUUCAGACCCUGCCCAUGGCAAAACAAAUUUAGAAAAACAACAAAAUUAGCAUCAAUCUCUGAAUGUGCCUUAAAUCUUAGUGGGAACUCAGAAAUUCUGCAGUUGAGAAAUUACAAUUUUGUAAUUGCAUUUUAGGACUUUUUCAGGGGAUAGUACAAAAAUCAAGGAAAAGGCAUGCCAUGGUAUCUGGCAAUGGUCCCAAUCCACUGUCCUAAAGCUACUAAUUGCACCCAGCAACACUGUCAUAAGUGUCAUGGGAACUGUGGUCAUAGUCAACGGGUCAAGAAUAAAGAAGUCAUUCUUCUCACCACAAAUGAGCUAAUGCAGAUAAACACCAUUCCACAUAUCAACAACCAGAAGCACUAGAUACAGAAAAAUUGGAAUUUGUCAAAAGCAACACCUCUUCUGCAAGCACUAUGGACACAUCAGGCAUUUGGAGGAACCAUGCUUUACAAGGAAUUUUAACAUCCUAGUUCUCCAUGGUACCAAGCAACACAUCAACACCAGCAGAAGUGAUGCCAUUGUUCAGAAGAAAAUUAAAACUUCGAGACUGUAUUUGAUUGCUUCAUUGUAUCAACCAAGCAUUUAUUGCUUUUGAAUAAUAGCUGUAAGCCUGAGAAAGCAAUUUUCAACAGAAAAGAUUUGUGGGGAAAAGGCAUUAAUAACAAGGACUGGAUUCAUUAGACAAAUUGACAUCACCAAAUAUUCUAUUCAGAAUCCUACAGAUGAAAGCUUUUGUAAUGGCAGCAUCAGACUCCUUUAUACAGGAAUAUCCAUGCCUCUGCAGAAAAGUUCAUGUAUAUAACUAAAACACUGUACUUACAGCUGUAUUAUCUAUAGCUCAUGCUUUUCCAGUUGUGAAUAUUACUAUGAUGGAAGAAGAUCAGCUAAAGAUGAAGCAGAGUCCUAAGCUGUGUUUUCUUGGAUGAAACAUCAUUUUUAGAAAAUACCUACCCCUACACUUCAACUGCAAAUUUCUAUUUACCAUCACACUGGUCUGCCAGUGGACUUGGUCAGCACAGAAGACACAAAACACCAACUUUAAGAAAUAAGGUAAUUUACUAUAGUUUUAAACAGCAAAGAAUUACAAAAAGAUAAGCUAAGCAAUGCACAUAAUCACUACUACAGAAGAUUGCCUAUAGUAAUUAAGAAUGGUACAUCACCUAAUAUUUUAUUAUCAACCAGAUCUGCACUUCAGCUGGGGAGCUCCAGCCACAGCGAAGGACUGGAGAGCCUCUCCUGGUAACUGGGAAAUUCUUCAGGCGCAUCCAGCCGCAGGCGAGCUCUCCGUCUUCGCUGUGACAGGGUCCAGCUUUUGUGCUGGUGAAUAAACAAGCUUCCAUACCUUCUCUGCAGGUACAUCUGGUUUCAUUCUCCUCCUGGGUUCCACCCAAAGCCUGGCCAUGGCUCAAGGGGGAACCAAGGGAUUUGGCUUUGACCGUGACCUCCAAACAAGGCCAGGUAUCCCAUUUCAUGGCCCUGACUGGCCUCUAAACACAGGAAGAAAGACACUGUUAUCACACUACAUGUUUCACUAACAAUCCUGCAUCUUUCAGUAAUAAGUGGAUACAAGUAUUAUACAAUGUUUGGUUGAAAGGUUCAUUGAGAGUCAACUUCAGCUCAGGGCCUAUUGUUCAGGCCUCAGUACUGCACAGAAACAAGUGAAAUGCAGAGAAACCAUGAACAUGUUUCAGCCUCCGAGGAAUUUCCAAAUUCCUUUCAAGUUUCAAUGCACAUUUAAAGCACUGUCUUACCUCCCCAGUAGUCGUAGACAUCUAGAAGUAUUGUUCCCUAAUCAUCCAACACCUAAUGACCACUAAUUGGAGACAAGCUUGCAAACUAUGUACAGGAUACUGACUGAAGUGCAAAUUAAGAAGUUAACUGAAUUUCAGUCACUGAAGUCUUUCACAAGCACAUACCAGAAGAGCUCUUUGGCAUAUCUGCAUUUUAUGGAGACCAUUUAUAUCCAGCAUGAAGGCAUAGCACUACCUUCAAGGUCACAGGAGUAUUUUUAAAAAGACUUUUUAAAAAUCUGAUUGGUGAAGUUUCCUGCCUGCUAUAGGUUAUAAUAUCAAUCCUUCCAUUAAAUUAGCUUCCUUGAAAUUCCUCCAAGUAUAAAUUCAUACAGGAUUUUUGCUCUACAUUUCCACUGCCCUAUGCAGUUUUGAAACUCCUGAGAACUUGAAUUGCUUGUGUUUAUCAAGAAGACAAAUAAUAGUCAGAAACAUGAUAGUAGUGUCUAGCAAAUGUGUGAAAAAAAUAAAAAUCCAUUCCCAUUUCUCAGCAAUGAGAAAUUACUACAGUUCUUUGAAAAACUGCAUGUAGCGGUAUUGAAUAUGGCUUAGAAAUGCUUUGAGUAACAAAGACAGGUUGGUAAGUUUGUAUUUUCCUUAACCCUAUUUUCUUCUCCAUUUCUACCUCUUCAGUUGCACUGAUGCUGCCACUUGUGAUGCUUCAGGAUGAACCAAAGUAGAUAAUAAAAUGGCAUCCACAAUUUCACUUUAAAAAGAAAAAAAAAGAUCACUUCAGCAAUCUUGUGUGUCUCUUCAGACAGGUGUGGAGCUCUCACUGGAGGAACAGGAGCUCCUCACUGGUCUUAGCUCCUAGAAGGGACAACAGUCAACAAGCUUCAAGUGCUGCUUUUACCAAAGGAGCAAUGACCCAUACCAACAAUACCACCAGAGUCUCCUAUGUCCUGAUGACCAGUGAUAUAUCAAAAGAUCCCCUGGCAGAUUUUGUAUUCCAAUUUCCAGUACAGCACCAGUCUCCUUUUAUCAGUGCACUUUAACAGUUUGAAAAUGCAAAGAAUAGCAUUACUUAAUGCUAAAAAACAUAA
This is a long non-coding RNA of Passer domesticus (house sparrow), 12373 nucleotides long. RefSeq lists it as uncharacterized. The record is from RefSeq and is a predicted model, not a curated record. The transcript is spliced from 2 exons. Lineage: Eukaryota; Metazoa; Chordata; Aves; Passeriformes; Passeridae.